Molecule: ribosomal RNA, 253 nt
Filed under: uncultured bacterium
Lineage: Bacteria
Description: partial 16S ribosomal RNA
Rfam family: Bacterial small subunit ribosomal RNA
Source: RNAcentral
UACAGAGGUCUCAAGCGUUGUUCGGAUUCAUUGGGCGUAAAGGGCGCGUAGGCGGCCUGGCAAGUCAAAGGUGAAAUCCCUCGGCUCAACUGAGGAACUGCCUUUGAAACUGCCAGGCUUGAGGCCGGGAGGGGGUAGCGGAAUUCCCAGUGUAGCGGUGAAAUGCGUAGAUAUGCGGAGGAACACCGAUGGCGAAGGCAAUCCCCUGGGCCUGCACUGACGCUCAUGCACGAAAGCGUGGGGAGCAAACAGG